Molecule: ribosomal RNA, 447 nt
Filed under: uncultured bacterium
Lineage: Bacteria
Description: bacterial SSU rRNA
Rfam family: Bacterial small subunit ribosomal RNA
Source: RNAcentral
UGGGGAAUAUUGGACAAUGGGCGCAAGCCUGAUCCAGCCAUGCCGCGUGAGUGACGAAGGCCUUAGGGUUGUAAAGCUCUUUUGGCGGGGAAGAUAAUGACGGUACCCGCAGAAUAAGCUCCGGCUAACUUCGUGCCAGCAGCCGCGGUAAUACGAAGGGAGCUAGCGUUGUUCGGAAUCACUGGGCGUAAAGCGCACGUAGGUGGGCAGUUAAGUCAGGGGUGAAAUCCUGGGGCUCAACCCCAGAACUGCCUUUGAUACUGGCUGUCUCGAGGUCGAGAGAGGUUGGUGGAAUUCCUAGUGUAGCGGUGAAAUGCGUAGAUAUCAAGAGGAACACCUGAGGUGAAGACGGGUUGCUGGGCUGACACUGACGCUGAGGCGCGAAAGCCAGGGGAGCAAACGGGAUUAGAUACCCACGUAGUCCCUGAGCGGGCUGGCAAGGCGCAU